Molecule: long non-coding RNA, 250 nt
Filed under: Nicotiana benthamiana
Lineage: Eukaryota; Viridiplantae; Streptophyta; Magnoliopsida; Solanales; Solanaceae
Description: long non-coding RNA (NBEN_LNC027492)
Source: RNAcentral
CAUAAUUAGCCACCCUGAAAUCCCUCUGUUCUCUCAAAUGCUCUCAAAUCUAACCUAAUCAAACCUCGCCAUCACUCAUCUAUGGUUAUCUAUGGUGAUUUCUCACCACCCCCAGGCCUCUAGUAGCUUCUGCCACGUUGGUAUUGCCAUCUACAAGGUCUUCAAGGGACCAAAGUUAGUUGGCUUGCAUCUAUGGCCCCUUUCUCGCCUAUUUCAGGCUGUUCCAGUGUGAUUCCUUGUAAGAUCGUCC